GGAGGGGUUAACAGGAAGGCUGUGCAGAUAUGAUUGCAGAAAUACAUGGGAUAUUUCUUUAGUUUCUUCUCAGUUUUGCUAUAAAUUUUAGAAACUGACUCAAAAAAUUGCCGAAGUCCGGCUGGGCAAAUAACCGGGAGGUGACAAGCAACUUGAAGGUUGAAACGGGAACUGCUUUAUUGCGAGUGAACUCAGCGGGAACUGAGUGAGAACUCAAAGUAGCAGGAGCCGCUUCUCUGCGGGACAGCAGAGGUGUACAUACUUAACUAAUUACACACAGCUUAACUCAAUUAACAUCUAGAUACAGCAGUCAGUCAUUAAGGAAUCCUCAUCAUCUUAAUGGCUCGCUGGCGUUGCUUCACAAACCACUCCUCCUGGCAAAGUGCCAGGUGCCAUCUUGACUUGAUUUGCAUCCUCAACAAAAAGUAGUCUUUUUUAAAGAAUGCUUUUGUUUCCACAUCUUCAUGUGGGGUUGUUAUUUCCUGAUUUGAUUUCUGACGUAAGGAAAGCAGAGUUACACACCCCUGGCCAGUUCUGGGGUAGGAAUGGGGCGCAGGGUGUCUGCAGCAGAGAGCCCUGCUCCUGCUUCUUAGCCUCCACUGGGGAGUUAGGUUCCAGACCAGAGAGGGGGUGAGGCUCUGUCUCUUUCCCACCCAGCUUUACCCUAAAGCAGCUGAUCUCUUUUGGGUGAGGUGAAGGUAAAUCUAAGAAAUUGCAACAUUUUUGUAGCUUGACAAAGAAGAGAUGAGGCCCGGAACCAGGGGUUCUUAAGUACUCUGCCUUUCAAGUACAGAGGAAAAGAGAACCAAAUUCUUGAGAACAAGCAAGGGGCAACUUCGGAAGCAAGCUAAAGUCUGGAACCAUCCAGCAAAGCUGACCUUGGAGGUGGGCAGGAUGCAGGAAGAGCCUCUCAGGGAAGAACCCAGCAGCCCAGGCACUGGAGAAGCAAGUGGCUGUGGGAACUGAGGCUGCAGGACACUGUGGUCAGUGAGGGGAAGGUCGCCGCAGCUGCACCACCACAAGGGUGGACUACUCGUUGACUGAAGGAGGACAGAGCUCUUCAGGAAGUAAAAAAGAGGAGAAUUAACAUAUCAAAUGUUGGAGAGGGGCUGGGAAUAAAGCUCAAUGGGUAGAGUGCUUGCCUCGCAUGCAUAAGGCCCUCGGUUCAAUCCGCCCCCCCACCACCACCAAGAAAAAAAAAAGAGUUGGGGAAAUUAAACUCAGAUGGGUUUUGAAGACUUCCAAAAUUAGAAUACUCUUUUUUUUUCUUGGCUGAGUAAAACUUUAGGACACAGGAGGAGGGAGGAGAAGUCAGAACCCUGGGAAGCUCUGGUGGGAUCACCUAAUUUGGAGUAAAACAGGAAGAAUCUUCCCUUUCCCACCCUGUUCCCAGCCCAGCCUCCGGAUAGCUGAGAACAGACUGUGGCUGGCCAGGAAGCAUCUUGUGGGUCGCAUUUCUCUUUCUUUUACUUUCUGUUUUCACCCUAGUGGGGUCCCGCUGGGAUUGGCUCCAGGGACACAGACAUCGUUUGGAACAUCAACCAGCAGAGACAGGAGUAUUUGUGGAAACUCCUGUUGGUAGGUUUGUAGCUGGAUAGAGGAAGUGUUGUCCUUGUCUCUGUGGCUUCACAUGGCUUGAGACGGUGUCCACCACUGAAAGAAGACGCCCUCCAUCAAGGGGCAUCCGAGGAUCAGUGGAUGGUUCAGCGGGUGGUGGAUUGAUACUGUGGUUUAAGUGUGCUUCCCAAAAGUUCACAUGUUGAAAUCUUAAUUCUUAACCUCAGUGACCACUGUUGGGAGGUGCAGUGUAAUGGGAGGUGUUUGGUCAUGGGGUGGAGCCCUCAUGAAUGGAUAAAUACCUUUUUCCUGGGGGUUCUUGAUCUCCUAGAACUGAACAAAUUACCAUGAGAGCAGAUUGUUCUAAAGCAAAGCUGCCCUUGUAUUUUUUUCUCUUCCUGAAUUCAUUCACUUGACCUUCCACUUUCCACCAUGAAUUGAAGCAGCACAAGGCCCUCACCAGACGCAGCUGCCCUGUCUUGGUUUUCCCUACCUCCACAAACCACGGGCCAAAAUAUGUCUUUUUCAUUUAUAUACUACCUUCUCUCUAGUAUUUUGUUAUAGCAACAGAAAAUGGACUAACACAAUUAACUGCAAAUGUAAAUUUCAGCGUGGAGUAUGGCAGCCAGCUCUCCAUCACCAGUGGGCUUCCUUCACUGGUUUUAACCUUGAAAGCAGUUCUUCAGUCUGUCAGGUCUUUCACCUCUACUAACACUACAGUCUAACCUAGGGCAUUGUCUCCUGCUUGGAAUAGCACAGUAGCCUCAUAGUUGGCUUCCAUCUUCCAUGCUUCCCGUCAUCCAAUACAUUUUCCAUCUAGCAUCCUGAGACAUUCUUUUAUUUUUAUUUUUGGCUUUUUAAAAAUUUUUACUUGUUCAUUUUAGUAGAACAAAUUUUGGCAUAUCAUCUAUACAUGGAGUAUAACUUCCCAUUUUUGUGGUUAUACAUGAUGUAGAGUUACACCAAUCAUGUAUUCAUAUAUGAACAUAGAAGAAUUAUGUCUAAUCCAUUCUCCUGUCUUUCCUAUUCCCAUCCCUCCUGUCUUCCCCUCACUCUGCCCUAACCAAUCUGUAAAUCCCCCCUUCCAUUGUGAGUUACCAUCUGCAUAUCUGAGGGAACAUUUGCCCUUUGGUUAUUUGAGAUUGGCUUACUUCACUUAGCAUGGUAAGUCUCCAGUUCCAUCCAUUUACCAGCAAAUGCCAUAAUUUUAUUCUUCUUUAUGACUGAGUAAUAUUCCAUUGUGUUAUGUGCCACAUUUUCUUUAUCCAUUUAUCUGUUAAAGAGCACCUAGGUUGGUUCCAUAGCUUAGCUAUUAUGAGUUGAGCUGUUGUAAACACUGAUGUGGCUGCAUCACUAUACAUAGUAUGCUGAUUUUAAGUUCUUUGUGUAUAUACCAAGGUGUGGGAUGGUCACAUGAGUCAAAUGGUGGUUCCAUUCCAAGUUUUCUGAGGAAUCUCCAUACUGCUUUCCAGAGUGGUUACACCAAUUUUCAGUCCCACCAGCAACGUAUGAGUGUGCCUUUCCCCCCACAUCCUCACUAACAUUUAUUGUUACUUGUAUUCUUGAUAAUUGCUGUUCUGACUGGAGUGAGGUGAAAUCUCAGUGUAGUUUUUUUUUUUUUUAAAUCAGAUCUUUAGUAGCAGUCUUUAGAAUACUCAGUCUAGAUUUAAAAAGUAAUAAUUUGUUAAAGCAUGCACAAAAGUGUAACAGUGAAUAAAAAUCACAACUGACAAAUAUAUUGGUUAACAUUCCAAACAUGUAUAACCAAUGAACAUGGCCUAGGAUUUUUAAUUUGCAUUUCUAAGACAUUCUUUUAAAUGUUAGAUUAUGUCAUUCCUCUUCCAUGAUUUCGCUAGAAUAGGGCUGUCCAAUAUGAUACCCACAUGUGUCUGUUUAAAUUAAUCAAGAUGAAAUAGAUUUUAAAAUUCAGUUCUUUGGUUACACUAAUCACGUUUCAAGUGCUCAUUAGCCACCUGUGGCCAUGGUCACCGUAGGUCAGUGCAGACAGAGUGUUUCCAUUAUCCCAGAAAGUUCUGUGCUGCUCUUGAAGAUGCACAACUUCUCCCUCAGAAGAGCAAGUGGUGCCCAGAGCUGCUGACCAAGUAGCUUCCCUGGUCUCCAGGACCUGCUGGCUGUGAAGCAGUAGGGGAAGAGGAAUUGGAGGAGCUGUUUUCUUCUCUCUCCUUUCUCUUCUCCCUAUUCAGGAGGCACUAUUUCUUGCCUUUGGCUGAAAUUGGUGGCAACUCUUCUUGAUUUUUGUCUAGAAGCUUAAUCUAUUGAGUUUUGAAAAAAGUUUGAAGAGAAAGGAGAAACCCAAGUCCAAUGUGCAGAACAAUGCUUAAAAAAAGAAUUCCCCCCAAGUUAAAGAGUGAUUGCCCCCAGUUGCAGAAAGGGAGAGAGGUCUUCAGGUCUGAUAUGUAGGCUACACAAGUGCCCUGAAACCUGUUCCAAAGAGGAGGGGAGGAAGAGUAGACCCCCGGAAGGCUGCAUCCCCGGGCAGAACCCUCUCCUUGCAAAACAAGCUGUACCUCAAGUAGGGCCCCAGCAGAGAAGCCGGCCCAAAGGAAGGGUCUGGGUCAAAAGAAUGGACCUUUUCUCACACAGGUGUAAAGAGCAUGGAGGAUGAUGCAGGCUGGAGGGACCCCUUCAUAUGGCGGCCCUGGGUAAAAUCCCAGAACCCAGAUAGCACCCCUGGGGGGAGGGAGCCCUGCUCGGAGGUGGAUAUCCCGUCCAGUUGUUGGGCGGGGCUGAGUUGACGCCACACUGAUGGGUGGUAUGAGAGGGUGCAGGGCAUGACUUUUAUCCUUUUGCAGAAGCAGAGCUCAAGUCCAGAGCAGCUGAAGGAUCAGAUGACCAUAAGUCUCAGUUCCCUGGAAAGUUCAGCCUGUUCUCCCAGAGACUUGUCGGUUACUUCCUUAUCUUAAAUAGAGGGAGUCAGAGCCGAGGAGCAAAAGCCCUUUCCCCCUGGUUUCUGAGCAGAUGACUAAGAGCCAAGGCUUUGAUAUCAGACAACUGGAGUUCAGACAUCUGCUGACGCCUCUUACUUGUACCCCCCUGGGGGGGUGUCGGUGUCUAUUCAGGCCAUUAUAACAAAACGCCUCAGACUGGGUGGUUUAUAAACCUCAGAGGUUUAUUUUUCACCAUUUUAGGGGCCAAAAAAGUCCAGGAUCACAUCACUGGUGGGACUGCAAAUUGGUGCAGCCAAUAUAGAAAGCAAUAUGGAGAUUCCUUGGAAAACUGGGAAUGGAACCACCAUUUGACCCAGCUAUCCCACUCCUCAAUGUAUACCCAAAGGAUUUAAAAACAGCGCAUUACUGGGACUACAGCCACAUCAAUCUUUAUAUCAGCACAAUUCACAAUAGCUAAACUGUGGAGCCAACCUAAAUGCCCUUCAGUAGAUUAAUGGAUAAAGAAAAUGUGAUAUAUAUAUAUAUAUACAUAUAUAUAUAUACACACACACACACACACACAAUGGAAUAUCACUCAGCUUUAAAAGAGAAUAAAAUCAUGGCAUUUGCAGGUAAAUGGAUGGAGUUGGAGAAUAUAAUGCUAAGUGAAGUUAGCCAAUUCCAAAAAAUCCAAAUGUUGAAUGGUUUCUCUGAUAUAAGGAGGCUGAUUCAUAGUGGGGUGGGGGAGGACCAUGGGAGGAAUGGAGGAACUCUAGAUAGGGCAAAGGGAAG
RNAcentral lists this long non-coding RNA (5237 nucleotides) under Marmota monax (woodchuck). The record is from RNAcentral. Lineage: Eukaryota; Metazoa; Chordata; Mammalia; Rodentia; Sciuridae.